CGGCGGACGGGUGGGUAACGCGUGGGUAACCGUGCCUCAUACAGGGGAGUAACAGUUGGAAACGGCUGCUAAUACCGCAUAAGCGCACAGCACCGCAUGGUACCGUGUGAAAAACUCCGGUGGUAUGAGAUGGACCCGCGUCUGAUUAGGUAGUUGGUGGGGUAACGGCCUACCAAGCCGACGAUCAGUAGCCGACCUGAGAGGGUGACCGGCCACAUUGGGACUGAGACAUGGCCCAA
Molecule: ribosomal RNA, 239 nt
Filed under: uncultured bacterium
Lineage: Bacteria
Description: partial 16S ribosomal RNA
Rfam family: Bacterial small subunit ribosomal RNA
Source: RNAcentral